This is a non-coding RNA of Pelobates cultripes (western spadefoot toad), 532 nucleotides long. Lineage: Eukaryota; Metazoa; Chordata; Amphibia; Anura; Pelobatidae. The record is from the annotation of a GenBank genome assembly.
UAUACAGUACCAGAAGCUGAAUCCCAGUAAUUAUGAGUUAAAUUGUGUUGGGAUCCUUGUGGCUUAGAUGAGCUAUAUAAUUUAUACUAUACUAAUUCUUAAAUAUGGUUGAAAACAACACAUUUCCUACUGUUUUGUAACAGAUUAGUUUUUUUUUUUUAUAUUUCUAAAUGAUCAUAGUUGAAAUAUGUGGGGAAAAGUAGGUAAAAUAUCAUGUUCACAAAAAAUAAAUUCACCAUGGUUUUUCAAGCUUGCAGGAGUGUCCCACUGUUUUUAUGUUAUUUCCUGUGUAUCAGAACUCGACACGGCCUUGCAAAUACUACUUUACGUUCUGCAUGGAAUGAUUGAAUCAGGGCAGUAACAUUGUACAAUCUGCAGGUCAGUGUGGUUCUAGUGUGACUAAACAGUGAAUUAAAAAUUGCAAAGUAUAACGCCAAAAUUGCUGAUAUGUAAAAUUUCUCUAACUCAACUGUAGUCACAUCUUUUAACAUGACUUUUGCAAUUCAGUUUUCCCGACUGCUUCUCAUCUCGC